RNAcentral lists this long non-coding RNA (439 nucleotides) under Parus major (Great Tit). RNAcentral's name for it is "lncRNA (ENSPMJG00000012075.1)". Lineage: Eukaryota; Metazoa; Chordata; Aves; Passeriformes; Paridae. The record is from RNAcentral.
CUUUGUUACAGCUGGCGUUUAACAGUCGGUCACACAGCUUCCCAUGUGCCAUGGAAUGCCCUAAAAUUCUCCCCUUUUUCCGCUCCGGCACAAAAAACUAGUCGUUCACGAAGGAGUUGAUAAUUUCCUUAAUGGAGGAUGGAGUUCAGAUUCUGUGUGGUUUGGCUCUCAGGAAACACAAACAAGUUUCUACUGUUUACUGGUUGUAGAUUCUCUAGCUCAAAGCACAUAAAAGUUUGUAUUCUGCUCUGAAGUGACUUCCACCAUGAAAGCUCCUGGCCUGGGGCCACCGUGAGGUCUUCCUAUUGUUUGUAUGCCAUCACAGAUUAAUUUCAUCUCAAGGUUUGGAAGUUCUGCAAUAUAUGUUCAACAAGAUUCUGUGCCUGAAAAAAUAACUGCUUGAGACAUGGAAUAAACUCUAUGGGCAGAUUUAUUGUCA